Molecule: small RNA, 588 nt
Filed under: Pan troglodytes (chimpanzee)
Lineage: Eukaryota; Metazoa; Chordata; Mammalia; Primates; Hominidae
Description: processed transcript
Source: RNAcentral
AAAUUCUCACUCCCGGUUGUGGUCUCCAUCCGGAAAUGGCCGUCUCGCCGCCAGGCCCGAAGGUCAGGACCUGCCAGCUGUAAAAUGGGAUAAUGUUCACCCCACCACCCUGCUGUGAGCUCAGAUAUGUGAUACUUUAGAGUGUAAAGCACUAUAACAAUGAACUGGAGAUCAGCCAGAUCACUUGUAUGCACAAAGCUGCUGUGGAUCUGUCUUUCAAACAAGAGCUGCAGAAAACGCUAUAGCAAGGUUGAAGCUUUAUCCACUCUGACUCACCCAGAAAGCACAGCCCUGAUUCUGCGUGAGAAAGGCUAUCUCUACAGAAACUAAAACGGUAUCAACGGUUUCUGUACAGCACAGAUUAUGACAGCGUCUUUCUUAAGAUUCUGUGGACCUGACUGACACUAGAAAAGCCCUAUGUUCUUUUUGUUGGUGGUUUGUAAACAGUAGGAAAAAUUCAGUUUUAUUCAUUGUGUUUCUGACAGAUGGAACAAGUUAAGGUUACCUUCUCAAUAUGAGGACUAAAGCUUUUAGCCAAUAUUUGUGGAGAAGACACAUUUAAGAUUUUCUUUUGCCCAUACAUGCAAU